GUGAUCUGUUUUCCUUUAUUUCCUUCGUUCUUCUUCUGGUUUUUGACUCCUUCUCUUCCAUUUUUGGUCAUCACCAACGAGAGUACUGUCACCUUUUCUUCCAUCCGCCGUUGACAGGUGUUGGGGAUUUGUUUAUAGCUGCUGAACGUUGACAGAAAUCCUUUCGUUCUUCUCUGUUUCAAGUUCACUGUGUAUGUCUUGUGAGGAGUGCGUUGGGUCUCAUUCGUCAUCCGCUGGGCGUAGCACAUUCGACCUCCUCUUCUCUCUUCUUUGUUCAUGUUUUUUUAAUGAUAUUAUAGCUGACCCUGCGUCUCAAACCGACCAUUGAGGGUCCUUCUUACUUUUUGGAUAAAGGAAGCACAUGGUGAUUUCUAUUUUUGGUGAAAUCUUAUAUUGUAUUUUGUAAAUUAUAAAUUAGUGCUUCACAUACCUCAUAGUUGGAUCCUAGUUUUAUUUUGUUAUUGUGAGAAUUGCUGGAAUGGAGCUAGUCUCCUUGUUGGUCUGA
This is a long non-coding RNA of Prosopis cineraria, 505 nucleotides long. RefSeq lists it as uncharacterized. The transcript is spliced from 3 exons. The record is from RefSeq and is a predicted model, not a curated record. NCBI's taxonomy places the organism in Eukaryota, Viridiplantae, Streptophyta, Magnoliopsida, Fabales, Fabaceae.